RNAcentral lists this ribosomal RNA (256 nucleotides) under uncultured bacterium. RNAcentral's name for it is "partial 16S ribosomal RNA". It matches the Rfam family "Bacterial small subunit ribosomal RNA", at positions 1246 to 1500 of the family's 1533-position model. The record is from RNAcentral.
AAAGCAAGACCGUGAGGUGGAGCAAAACUCAAAAACUUGUCUCAGUUCGGAUUGUAGGCUGAAACUCGCCUACAUGAAGCUGGAGUUGCUAGUAAUCGCGAAUCAGCAUGUCGCGGUGAAUACGUUCCCGGGCCUUGUACACACCGCCCGUCACACCAUGAGAGUUGGCAAUACCCAACGUACGUGAUCUAACCCGCAAGGGAGGAAGCGUCCUAAGGUAGGGUCAGCGAUUGGGGUGAAGUCGUAACAAGGUAUC